GAGAGCUGGUAGUAAUUCGUGUCGCUAGGGGACCACAAAGUGGCUGCACUUUGGAGAGUCUCCUGGCUGCUGAGAAGGUGGACAAAGGGCAAUCAAGACAAUAAACGGACCACUCACUAGAUCACAAAGAAUAUGUCCAUUCAGAAGCACAGGCUGUUGGCACACUGCACCGUACUUGUUAACCACUCCAGGCAAAGAAAGAGCCACUCAUUCUGAUUAGCUGUCAGGACUGAUUUUAAGCCAUGCUAUUAUAUGGUGAAGAGGAAAAAGGAAAUCCAAGGGAACUGUACUUAAGGCCAGUGCCUAAUCAGGUUUUUUCCCCUUCAUCUAUUUCAUACAAAAGCUGCCUGGAAUUACCAUUGUGAACCAUUUCAUUCCUCCCUUCAAGUGCUAAUUAAAUGUGAAAUUUUAAAAUAUAUACUCCUCUCUCCAGGUGGAACAAACUGAG
Molecule: long non-coding RNA, 448 nt
Organism: Octodon degus (degu)
Lineage: Eukaryota; Metazoa; Chordata; Mammalia; Rodentia; Octodontidae
Exons: 3
Source: RefSeq, a predicted model, not a curated record